This 72-nucleotide transfer RNA is filed under the name Ovis aries (sheep). It matches the Rfam family "tRNA". Rfam says of the family: Transfer RNA (tRNA) molecules are approximately 80 nucleotides in length. The record is from Rfam by way of RNAcentral. Lineage: Eukaryota; Metazoa; Chordata; Mammalia; Artiodactyla; Bovidae.
UCCCUGGUGGUCCAGUGGUUAGGGCUCUGCACUUUCACGGCAGGGGAAUGGGUUCCCUCCCCUGUCAGGGAA